RNAcentral lists this transfer RNA (85 nucleotides) under Jatrophihabitantaceae bacterium. RNAcentral describes it as "tRNA-Ser". It matches the Rfam family "tRNA". From Rfam's summary of the family: Transfer RNA (tRNA) molecules are approximately 80 nucleotides in length. Their secondary structure includes four short double-helical elements and three loops (D, anti-codon, and T loops). RNAcentral also lists the same sequence under 2 other names. The record is from RNAcentral. Lineage: Bacteria; Bacillati; Actinomycetota; Actinomycetes; Jatrophihabitantales; Jatrophihabitantaceae.
GGAGGGCUCGCAUAGUGGCCGAGUGCGGCGGUCUUGAAAACCGCUAUAGGGAAACCUAUCGAGGGUUCGAAUCCCUCGCCCUCCG